CCCCCAGGGGCUGUGCAGUGUCGUGUCGUGGCGACGAGGGGGCCGCUACCGGACGCCGCUCAGGCUCCGCCUCGCCGCCCGCCGCGACGACGCGCUCUAUUGCCUCCUCCCGCCGAAGCGGAAGCAGCGGAGCCGCCUCUUCCGCCACCGCCCCCUGGACGCCCGCCGCCUCCGCCGCGCCCUCUACCGCACCCUCGUCGAGGUGAGCCCCGGGACCUCGCUCCAGCCGUCGCGCACCUCCCUGCGGAUGCGCGAGCGGACGGAGGUGCAGCGCGCCGAGGCGGCCCGGCGGCGGCUGGCGGCGCGUCGCGAGGCCCGCGAGCUGUACCCCGAGUAGUACCCCCCUUUGGAGGAGGCGCGGCUAGAGCUCCGGCGGGACCGGAGGUAGCGGCGCCUCGGCUCGCUGCCGCUUCCACUGCCGCGCCUCCGACAGCUACUCCUUCGGUUAUCCACCUUCCUUCCCGAGCUGUCCUUGGCACUGUAGCGGCUACGGGAGUUUUAAGAAGGUUGUUUUAGCAAUAGGACAUUUCUUUAGCGUUCUGCCAGCACAUAUAGAAACCUCCUCAAAUAUACACUAGUGAAAAAUGGACUCUGGGGACAAUAUUAGUCACCGACGUAGCUAGUAACCGGACGUUACUUUUUUACCUUCUUGUAGGUCAUGGAUUUCUUCUAACGACCCCUAGCCUGACAAGGACAACUCCAACCCUUCUCGAUACAAACGUCACUCACCUUCGUCCUCGAAUAGUGCAAGAGGGUCAAGGAACUCUCCUACACCAGUUGGCGGACAGGAAGUUUAAACUGUAUAGAUCGAGUCGUAGGUAAUAAACUCGUCUAUUUUCUCGAAGUACUUCUGUAUUACCAAGGACUGAUGACAAUACGACCACCUCCCCUUGAGGUUAGUGAAUUACGAACCAAACCAGGUGUGCCCUGUCACUGUGGUAACGUGGUGCUGGGCGUAGUGUUGUAAAAUCGAGUCCAGAACCCGUCCUUCAUAUAAUCUGAGAUAGGACCAAGACAUAGGCUUCUGAAUAUGGGUGUGUGUCUUUGAUACAACUCGUUAUGAUCAGUCCACCUAGAACUGUUGUAUCUAUACUUACUCAAGGGUUUCCAUCUUUUGGAACUAAAGUACCUGACGUAUAACCUCCUUCCACUGUACGACAUAUAAGGAGGCUUUACCACCGUAAUGCUGGUCUAGAGUCCUGAGUCCCUGAACGUUGACCUCACAGACCUACGUGGUUUUCUUGGUUACCAGCUUCCUCCUUGGAUGGGAUUGGUCGUGGUCGGUUUCCUAAUCCCGGAUCGAGUGUUCGCAAACAGUAUGCAUUAAUUUCCCAAUUAGGUUUAGUAUAAUAAACGGAUAGAUCGACACUAAGCGUCUUCAUCAACGGAGGUUUGUUCCCCUUGUGUGUAGGGUACAAAUCACCUAGCUGACAGUGUUCACUAAGCUAAGUGUUGAUAUCAAAAAAAACCAG
This 1472-nucleotide ribosomal RNA is filed under the name Triticum aestivum (bread wheat). RNAcentral describes it as "partial small subunit ribosomal RNA". Lineage: Eukaryota; Viridiplantae; Streptophyta; Magnoliopsida; Poales; Poaceae. The record is from RNAcentral.